Magallana angulata is the source of this 1151-nucleotide long non-coding RNA. RefSeq lists it as uncharacterized. The record is from RefSeq and is a predicted model, not a curated record. The transcript has 3 exons. Lineage: Eukaryota; Metazoa; Mollusca; Bivalvia; Ostreida; Ostreidae.
CAUCUUCAAAAUAGUAGAAUGGCAUUUAUUUCUACUAUAAACCUUCAGUAAUAUUGUAGUAUGAAAGUCAGUAUUUUUUUUAAAAAUAUGAAUGUAUUUAAACUAUGUUUAUAUUCAUCAUUUUAUUUUGUGUUUUAUAUUUUUCAGCAAAUGGCUAUUAUAGUACACACGCUUAAUACUAAGAUUUGGCUGGAUGUAGUCUGAAGAUGUAUGACUAUAAUUUCAAGAUCCUGGCAUUCUCCUCACAUUCAUAGCAAGAUUGCGUCCUGUUCUGAAUCUGGAUAAGAUCUAAACUUGUCUUGUGCUUUGGUUAACACAUCAGAAAGGGAGAAGUGGAUGGAAAGACUUGAAGGGCUAAAUGAAUUUAGGAAAACUAAUGAAGCACCAAAGAACAAGAAGAAUAGAAAUAUCUAAAUGUUAUCAUUUGCAGGAAUUAAAUUUAUUUUAAUUCUGAGAAUUGUUGUGGGUUUUUUUUUCUCUAGCUAUAAUUUUAGAUAAACUCAAGUGGUUUGGAAAGGAAAACCAAUGAAAUUUCUCAGACCAUUUGAUGGGAGGUUGGAACAGCAAGUUGGGGAGUAUCAAUAAAUGAUUUUAAAGACUGAAAACAUUUAGGGGCAUUUUUUUUACAUGUAUUUGCAUGUGAAAUAUGUGGAUAGCAUACAUUCUAUGUAUCUUAUUACUACUGAGGUUUAACAUGUGUCAAAUAGGGGGCAUAUGUUGCGUUGCAAAGCCAUAGUUUGCACACAUAUUAUAUUCAUACGAUUCUCAUAUCAUUUCAAAAUUACAUGAUUGUCAUAUAAGAAUUAUAUAAUCAUUAUAUAAGCGAUCAUAUAAUUUUGAUAUGAUGCUCUUAUCACAUAAUUCGCAUAUCAGAAUUAUAUGAUUCUCAUAUGAUACCAAUGAUAUGAUUCUGAAAUUAUGCCCUUUUUUAAUUAUCUCAUAUCAGCGCAAUCAUAUAAGAAUCAUAUCAUUUUGAUAUGAGAAUGAUAUGUGGCGAAAUCCCCUGUGAAGUCUUCAUCGGAAGAAGUCCAAACGAACGCCGACUUGGAGAGGGGUUUGAUCGCCGCUUUGUACUCCGUUGACCUUCCUUCUCUUUGAACGUGGGAGGUUGGCAUACCUUAUUUGUUCUCAUCUUGGAGGAGCCUGUAAUU